Molecule: ribosomal RNA, 253 nt
Filed under: uncultured bacterium
Lineage: Bacteria
Description: partial 16S ribosomal RNA
Rfam family: Bacterial small subunit ribosomal RNA
Source: RNAcentral
UACAGAGGUCUCAAGCGUUGUUCGGAUUCAUUGGGCGUAAAGGGUGCGUAGGCGGCGCGGUAAGUCGGGUGUGAAAUCUCGGAGCUUAACUCCGAAACUGCAUUCGAUACUGCCGUGCUUGAGGACUGGAGAGGAGACUGGAAUUUACGGUGUAGCGGUGAAAUGCGUAGAUAUCUGGAGGAACACCGGUGGCGAAGGCGGCAUCCUGGACCGGUAUUGACGCUGAGGAGCGAAAGCCAGGGGAGCAAACGGG